CAUGUCAUAUUCUUUUCUUUGUUGGUAUUCUCAUAGGGUUGCUACCUUCUGGUCUAACUCAUCUUCUUGUCCUUGGAUUUUCAAAUAUGAAAUCUUUAGAUAAGAAAGGUCUUCAACGCCUCCGAUCUCUUGAAGAAUUGUGAAUCAAAGACUGUCCUAAGCACAAGUACAUGCCAGAAGAGGGGUUGCCUACGUCCCAUUCUAUUAUAGGGAUCGACAUAUGCCCUUUGUUGAUGAAGCAAUGGCGCAAAGUAAGAAAGGAAAAGAACGGCGAAAGAUUCCUGACGUCGGUCACAUUUUGUUGAUUCUAAAGAGAGGAGCAGGUAUAUCAGAAGCUUAUUCUGAGAAACAAGUUCAAUUGAAUCCAAGGUUUAAAAAGUUAUGAUCAUGUAAAAAUCCUUUACAUCCCUGUAGCGUCUGGAUAGUUUGGCAUGAAAUUGUUGUAGCUCAAAUGGAACUUUGUGUUAGUAUUUUUGUUGGCUAAAUCCGGUGACCAAAAUGUACAUCUCUCCGUAUUUGAAGUGCCAAAAGUCAUCUCCAUGCAUGACCGUCCAGACAGGAAGCAAGGCCGUCUGGACGCUAAGAGGUUCUUCUGCAAUCUGUCCGGACCUGCUUUCCAGAGAGGUUCGUCCGCAAUUCCAUCUACAUGCCAUCCGGACGCUCCUAGAAAUCUGUUUUUCCCGAGAGCCUCUUCUGGAGUCUCGUCCGCAAGCUGCCGCACCAGAAAACUAGGGUUUAUUGGGUUUAUCUUAUUUCCGUCUGGACAUGCGUAUCACCCGUCCAGAUGCCCUGCACAGUUUUAAGUUCAAUACACUUAAAUUUUGUGGGUUUAAGGCUAGAGUUUUGAAGCCUAUAUAUAUUCCUCUCUAUAGAACUGCAGGGGUACGAAUUCUGCCCUAGAGUUCGUGAGAGGUUGAGCUAAGAGAGAUUUUAUGUAUGUGAACUAGAGAGCGUUUCUCUUAGAGUGAUUGUUAGAUUGAAAUAGUUUUUUGAUAAACUACAGUUGAGAAGUCUAUCGGCAGGGUUCGAUAAAAGAGAAUCACAUGAAGAAGAUUGUGAGGUAGGAGACAAGUUAGAGGCUUAUCGAUCUUACAGAGUUAAGGAUUUGCAAAGAAUUGUAAGUAUCCCCGUGUCUGUAAUCUCUAAAAUAUUUUCUUAAUGGUGAUUUUCUGGGUUUGGCUGCCUCGGAGAGGUUUUACUUUUAGAAAGGUUUCUAAAAGGUUUCCUCUUCGUCAUCAAAAUAUCUGUGUUUGUUUAA
Non-coding RNA from Corylus avellana, 1258 nucleotides. Lineage: Eukaryota; Viridiplantae; Streptophyta; Magnoliopsida; Fagales; Betulaceae. The record is from RefSeq and is a predicted model, not a curated record.